GGGGGAUGGGGUCCUCCGGGCUGGGUGCGGAGGGUGGAGGGGAGCCACGGCCCUCGGGGUGGCGGGGCUCAGAGGGGUGCGGAUCCUGGCCAGCCGGGCGGGUAGGUGAGGUUUCUACCCUGACCCAGGCCUAGCCCUGACCCUGAUUCUAACCCUAAUCCUAGUCCUGGGGAGAGCAGACAGACGGGAAACGGAGGCUGAGGCUACGCGGCGAUCGCCCUGGGGUAGGGCACCCUCCAGGGUUGGAUGUCAAAGUUUCCUAAAAUACAGAAAAUGAAAAAGGCAAAGUGAAUAUACCUUUGGAGUAGAAAGAGCUUCUCAAAAAGAUGGGCACACAGCAUAGUUCACCCUAGGGAAGAUUAUCACCAAAAUGGGUAUAAAAGGGAAACGAAGAAGGAAGGAUGGCUUCUGUGUCUUUGGAGAAGCUCAUCUUCAACUUCACCUUGGACGUCAUCUCCUGGCUUCUCACAGACCCUUCAGCCUCCUAACAUGGACUCGCGUGGGACACUACAGUGAGCACCAGCCUUUGACUGGAUCCUUCAGAUCUCCAGUGUGCAGACAGCCCCUUUCCACUCUUCCACGCCUGACUCUGUGGGUGGCCAUUGUAGGCAAAUAGUUAUCUCCUACUGAAGGGGAACAGUUGUCACAGAAGAUGAACCUAUGUGAUGUGGCAUCUUCAUCCAGCAUCCACAGGCGACAUCGGGCCCACACUUCGUGUCUGACCCUGUGGACUGAUGACAUGUGUCCACUGUUGUGGUGUUGUGCCGAGGAGUUUCACUGCCUGGAAAGUCCCCUGUGCUCCACCUGGUCAUCCUCCCUCCUCGCUCUGUAACCACCCAUUAUUUUACCUUUUCCAGAACGUUGUAUGAUUGUAACCAUACAGAAU
This is a long non-coding RNA of Heterocephalus glaber (naked mole-rat), 886 nucleotides long. The record is from Ensembl. NCBI's taxonomy places the organism in Eukaryota, Metazoa, Chordata, Mammalia, Rodentia, Bathyergidae.